RNAcentral lists this long non-coding RNA (28402 nucleotides) under Citrus sinensis (sweet orange). RNAcentral describes it as "long non-coding RNA (CSIN_LNC000241)". The record is from RNAcentral. Lineage: Eukaryota; Viridiplantae; Streptophyta; Magnoliopsida; Sapindales; Rutaceae.
UAACUCCUCAAGAUGCUCCAUGUUUGCUAGAUGCAACAAAUUGAGCGGUAGACUGUUGCAGUGUUCGAUGUGCAGUGCUUGAGUGAUAUUCUGCAGCUUUGGGAAUUUCAGAAAGUUUUCAACACCACGCGAACCAUGUAAGGACAAGGUGAUGAGAUUUAAUUGUUCCAAACAGUGGAUUUCCUUCAUCAAUGAUUCAGCAUCAUCGGAUAGAACGUUGCCUUCUUCCACUAUUGGCCGGUGGUUUGAACCGCAACGCAGCAUCCUGAGUACCUGUAACUUCGAAAAGCUUGAUAUUAAUUGCUCUGGAAUUCUAGAAAUUUCAAAUGUAUACUCCAAGUUCAAAUAUCUCAGAUUCACCAAUGCCUUGAGCUCUUGCGGCAACCCCCUUAUGUCAGUCCAAGACAGAUCAAGAUGGUGUAAUGAAACCAGACUUGAAAUCCCUGCAGGUAGUUCAGUUAGGGAAUCAUUCUCACUUAGAUUUAAAACUCUAAGCGAAGGUAAAGAUUGAAAGAAACUCUCAGUGAUCUCCUUAAUAUGAUUAUCCGCCAGACGCGCGUCUCCAUUCUUCAGGGUACUCUUUGCCUGCCAUGGCUUGACCCACUGUUUCAAGUGCUAGCGGCAAACCAUGACACUGACUUGCCAUGGUUUUGGCUAGUUCACGAAUUUCAGAAUGACUGUCAAAACAGAAUCCUCCAGCCGCUUGAAAUAAAUCCCAAGCAUCCUCAUCUCCCAAAUAAGACACCUGAAACUUCUUGUCAGCUCUCAUUUUACCACAAGUGCCCUGAAAACGAGUUGUGAAGACUAUUUUGGACCCAGAAUGAAGAGGGACGCCCAAAUUUGUUAAAUCAAUUUUGGACUCCCAUAUAUCAUCCAAUAACAAUACAAACUUCUUAUGCUUUAAAGUGUUGGUGAUGUCUGAAGCCCUUUCUUCAAAACUUUUUCUCUCCCAUGAAUCUGUUGAGAAGCCUAUCCUUUUUCCAAUAUCCACUUGAAUCUGCUUCAAGUUUGGCUCUCUAGACACAACCGACCAGAUAACGACACCAAAAUGAUGCUGUUCAUCACUGCAGAAUUUGUUAUUGACUUGUUUUAACAGGGUAGUUUUGCCGACGCCCCCCAUACCAUAUAAGCCAAUAAUUCCCUUAUUCUGUUCUUGAUCGGUGAUGCAUCUCCAAACUCGGUCUAGUAUUGAUUCUUGACCGACAAUCGUUCGCUCAACAGCUAUUGCAACCGCUGCACCUUCUGGUACCUCCCCAUAAACUUCUUUCAUUGCUUCUCCCUCUUUCUUCAGUUCGAUCACUGUUUCUUUCAAGUUCUCCACUUCUUUGCCGAAGGCGUAGCUUGAAAUCAAGUCCUUGGAACAGAAGCCUCCAAGACACAGUCUAUCAACCUGUCGAUCUCCUUCUUUUUGCAGAUUCUUAACUUUAGUUUCCAUUUCUUCCACCCUUUCAAACCAGCGUUGCACCGAUCUGGUCCGUCUGGUUCGGGGUUGUUGUUCGGCAAGCUUAACCUUAUUCAGCAGAUCUUGUUUUCUCGCAAUCAAGUUCUCCGUUUCAGUUUGCAAGUCAUCGAGAUUACCUUUAAGACCCCAUAUAUACUUUGCUUGUCCACCAACGUAAAAUAAUAUUGGACGGAUUGUGUCCGCUGAGAAGAAGGUUGAGAUGAUGCCACCCAUUUUUGUUGAAAGACUUCAAAAGGGAGAAAAAAAAUGAAGAGAAACUAACAGUAGAGUAUAAUAAAAAACUCUUAUUAUCUCCUCAAGUUAUAGGCGAAAGAUAACAUAUUUUGUUAUUCUUAUCUCACUACCCAAAUAAUUAGCGGCAAAAUUAUAUUUUUGGCGAAAAUCGUAUUACAGAUCCAAAUACUGUGAAGGCGAAAAUCGUAUUACAUACCCAAUAUUAUUUUUUAUUUAUGACUGUUAAUUAUUAUCAUUGUUUUUGGGGGGUCUACCUUUUGACCGAAAUGAUAACACACAGUUGUCAUUAUUAAGGCGUGAUGUGCUUACUCACUGACAGCAUUGAUGGUGAGAGCACAGGCGCCGGUGAAUGGUUUUAAUCAGUACGCGUUGGUAAGUGCAGGGUUUUUGUCUUACAGUAUAAUUUUUAAAAUAAAAUUUAUUUAAAAAAGUUUUUUAUUAAUAAAAUUUUAUAAAUUAAAGUUUUAUUAAAAAAUUUAAAUUUUUAAUCUGCUGUACCGUACNNNNNNNNNNNNNNNNNNNNNNNNNNNNNNNNNNNNNNNNNNNNNNNNNNNNNNNNNNNNNNNNNNNNNNNNNNNNNNNNNNNNNNNNNNNNNNNNNNNNNNNNNNNNNNNNNNNNNCACCAGAAUACACAAGCAUAUAAUUUUUAGUUCUUUUCAGAUACUUUAUAACUGCUGUACCGUACAUCCGCCUUGGCCGUACAGCAGUUUAAAUUUUUAUUAAUAGAGGUAAAAUAAUUUAUUUAAUUUUUUAAAAUUUUAUUAAAAAUAACUAAAUAAAUAAAAAUUUUAAAAACAAUUUAUAAAAUCAAAGAAAUAUUUAUAAUCAUCAAAUAAACUAUUCUAAAUGGAGUCCAGCUACGUUGCGCUAGUGGUGUCAUACCACUUUUUUGUCUUUUUGAGAAAGUUCUAUACAAACCAUCCGUUUACUUUUAUUUAACAUUUAUUUCAUAAGUAUUAAAUUAAUUUCCACCUACAUCUAUAAGUACAUUUUUGUUAGCACCUUAUACUAUAUUAUAUUUAUAAAUUUUUUAUCUAAUAUUCACUUAUAUCACAAUGCUUGUCUUUAACAUUUUUUUUAUAGACCUCUUUAUUAUUUUAAAAUUGAAUAAUUAGCAUGCUUAAUUUAAAAAUUUACACUUCUUUUUAAUUAUAUUUUUUUAAAAUAUUAGAUUUUUUUACAUUCACUAUCAAAUUUCAUUUAACACUUGACACUCUUUUUAUUUUAAUUUUUUUUAAUAAAUAUUACGGUACUGUUUUCUAAGAUUCACAAUAAAUUAUGCAAUUAUUUUAAUUUUUUUUUAUAAAUAUUACGGUACUGUUUUCUAAGAUUCACAAUAAAUUAUGCAAUUCAAAUAGUUCCAUUACAAAAAUAUUAUAAUUUUCAUACUUUUAUUUUUAUCAUUGUUAUUUAACCCUUUGAUUCGCUGUUGUAAAUAAUAAUUCAUCGUCUCCAAAUAGGCAUUGAAUUAAUUUUAUGUAGCAUGGACUGACAUUAUAUUAUUAAAAAAUUUUAUUCCUAUACAUGAAAGAUAAUUUUUUUUUUACUAAAUUAUAGUUUAAAACAGCCUAAUGUAAUAGAAAAUAACGCAAUAUAACUUAAUACAACAAAUAAUGACGUACCGAAUGCACCCAUAAAAUAAGAAUACUUAAAAUAAAUAACAUGAUAAAAAUAAGAGUAAUAAAAAUUAUAAUACUUUUUGAACUAUUGGGAUUACAUAAUUCGUUAUACAUGUAAGUAAAAAGUACUAUAGAUAAUAUUUAUUAAAAAAUUUAUAAUAAAAAGAGUGUAAAGUGUUACAUGAAAUUUGAUAGUAUAUUUAAAAAAUAUCCUAAUAAUUUUUUUUAAAAAAAAAGAGUGUAAGGUUCUAAAUUAAACAUGACUAUUAUUCAAUUUUAAAAUAAUAAAGAAGGGUAUUAUGAUACAGAUGCAAAAUAGAAUAAAAAUAAUAUUAAAUAUGUAAGGUGCUAAUUGAAAUGUGGCUAUAGAUGUAGGUGAAAACUGGGUUAAUACUAAUGAAACAAAAUUUAAAUAAAAAAGUGGAAAGGUUUUUAUUAAAAUUUACAGUAGAACUGCCGCAAUAGAUAAAAGAAUUGGUCCGGUAUCACCGUUGUAACGUAGGCAAACCCUUCAAAACAAGCAUUUAAUAGUUAUUAAAUAUCAUAUAUAGAGAAAAGGAAAAACGAAGUGACAGAGAGAUUGAGAAUGAAAGCAGAGGUGGAAAAGAGUUUUUUUUUUUUUUUUUGGUUUACUUGGUGUUGGUGGGUAACAUCCUUCUUAAAUGUGGAGUUCAUAGAGGAGGGGGUUGGCUUUAAAACAUAUGGAGAAAAUUAUGAAUAUCGGCCGAAACAUAUUCUUCAAUUGUUUGUUACAGAAAAUGUAAUAUAGGCGCUGCCUGAGAAACUUAGUGGGUCGGUGUUUUUUUUUUUUUUAAUUACAUGAGACUAUUGCUCAAAUUACAGUUUAAAUUACAACUCAUAUUUCAUGAGAGUAUAAUUGAUAUGUACAAUCAUAUAUUUAUAUUGAGUCCUGUUGAUAUUAAUGUUGAUAUGACACCGCUCAGAUUUUUAACCCUCUCAAAUAUUCGAGGGAUGUUAAACUCCCAUCCUGGAAGAAAUACUAUCUUCACUCGAGCUCAAAGACUCCAAAAAAAAAUAUUUAAAUUAAACCCGUACAAUAUGACUACGGAGGCUCGAACUUCUUCCCUCACAUUUAUGAGGAGGGGCUCUAAGCUCAAGUGAUUUAGUGGGCCGGUGUUUACUCCAGAGUAAGUGUCGUGCCAUUGCCAGCUAUUAUUUAUUUAUUUAUUUGAGGUUCAUAAAUUCUUUAUGAGAUGCGCUCGGCAUCACAUGAUCAAUUCAGGAUCACGACAAUCACUUUAUUUAAAAGUGGAGAGAUUCGGCGAACAAGGCAUCAAAAUUUCUUAAAAUCUUUUUUAUUUGUGUUGUUUCUUCCGAGGAUGUGGAAGUGGACAAAACAAAUGAAAAAGCGUACAGUGACAAAGCAAAUCGAUUUUUCUGUGCCUCUACGGCCGCGUCUGUGUUGUAACGGUGACACUAUAGCACGCGUUUGUCUUUUAUCUCAGGUUGUUAUUGGAUUUAAAAGUAAGUGAUCCAACGAGCAAUAGAUGGCCACGUUUCUAUUAAAAUUAAGGACAGAAAAAACUAUAUAGUGGUUAGAAUCUAUUUAAAGGUUUAAGACAUAUUUGUGUAAGAUAAAUGCAAUCUAGACGGCGAUGAAAUACAAAAUUAUUCAUCAAUGGUUACCAUUAGUGUAAAAAUUAUAAUUUUAACGUUUGGAAGAAUUGGUAGCUGUUUCAUCGUGCCGUGAGUCUAAGCUCACAUGCACCUCUUUACACUAAAUUUAAUACUUAGCAAUUUAGUGGUUUAAUCACCUUGAAUUAAAAAAAAAAUUCAAUGAAGGAUCCCGAUUUGACUUCAUUGCAGCCAUUCAUUAUGUUGAAUCAACUAUUUUAUAAUGCAUGACAAUACUUGCAAUUUUAGAUCCUCAGAUUGUAUUUGUAUUAUCAAAUGUCAUUUAAAGGUUGUGGUUGCAAGUUCACCAAAAAUAUCAUGUAAAUGCCCACAUUUGAUCAACCUAGAAUUUGCCUAUAUAGAGGCAAGAGAUUUGAUGAUUCGAUGUGUAGAAUUUUAGAGGUGAGUUUCCUAGAAAAUUUUAGAGUAAAUCUAGAGUGAAUUUUAUGGAGAAGUGUAGUUAAUAAGAAGAGAUUUCUUUUUUUUUCUCUUCUUCUUUAUUUUAAAUUUUCUUGUAUUAUACUUUUACAAAUUUAUUAAAUAAAAUGAGUGUUUUAUUUACUAAUAUGAGUGGCUAAUUUUCUAAGCCAAGGUGAUGAGUGAAGCCAAAGUAGCUAAUUUCUUGUAUUAUACUUUUACAAAUUGUUUGUUUCACUAUUAACCUGGGAAUCGAGGUGGCCAAAGAUGCAGGAUGGACCCCUUUGACUGUCGAAUCGGAUUCAAAAGUGGUGGUUGAUUUGGUGCUGCGUAAGAGGAGCAGUAGAACAGAGAUUUUUUUGGAGCAUUGAAGAUAUCCAAAGCAAAAUUGAGGGAGACAGUAUGAUUGUAAUCCAGCACAUUCCAAGGGAACGUAAUGCAAUGGCACAUGCUAUAGCCAAAAUAGCAUUAGCAUGCAGUGAUGAUUGUGUCGGGAGGGAAUCUUUUCCCCCACAAAUCAUAAAUGUAAUCGCCCAAUUGGUUUAAUGAAAGCAUUUCUUCUUAAAAAAAAUAGUUUAUUACAAAAAAAUAUAAUUAGUUCGACUAUUAUUACUCUUUCAUUAAUUUCAUAAAAUUUUUAUUAUAUUACAAUUAUAUUUAAAAAUAAAUAUAAAUUAAAUUAAAUUAUUUGCAUUUUCUUUCUUUUUUGAAUUUUAUUUUACUUGCGGAAUAUAAAUUUUUUUGUUAUCACUAAAAUAAUUUAAAUUUAAAAAGUAAUCCUCUAAGUCAAAAAGAUUUUUUUAUAAUAAAUAUAACAACUUAAUUAAGAUAUAACGUAGGGAAAAAUAAAUUAAAUAAAAUUUUAUCCCUUUACAAUUAAUUUUUUAAGCAUUCUCAAACUAAUUGCUAAACUCAAUGAACCCAAAAUUUAUAGGUAGGAUAAAAUUAUAUUAAACCCACAAAAUAUUCAUUAUUUUCUAAAUAUAAAGUUUUUCUCAUUUUUUUUAGAUUUUUUUCUUUAGAAAUUAAAUAGUAAAGAAAGUUUCAAGAGAAGAAUAUAAAUAUUAAGACUGAAAGAGUGAGAAAAUUAUUAGAAACUGAAAAUUUUAUAAAUGAAAAGAGUGUUCAUUAAAAAAAUAAUAUUUUUAGUAUUAAAUGAAAUAUAAUUACAAAGGGGGUUUCAAUAGGAUUUUAGAGGGGUGCUAAUAGUCUAACUCUAAAAGUAUUUUAAAGUCAAGCCCAUGAGGCCCAAUUAGCAAAUCUUGCUCCUUAAUUAACACCGAUUAAUAUCACCCAUUAUUUUAAUUUGACGAAGACUUCUCUAGCUUCCAUAUCGGCUUAUUUCUCCUCCCAUCGUUGCCUGUAAGUGAAUUUAUUGAUAGUUUUUUACUCUAUUUUAAUUUCCGCAUUUUAUUUGCUUAUGCACAAUUAUUUAUAGGUUUCCGAAUUUCUAAUUUUUUUCUGUUUUAUGAUCUUUCUUUCUUUCUCCCUUUCUAAUUUUCAAUUCAAAUUUUUCCUUUCUUGUUUUUGCCCUAAUGAAAUUAACACACAAGACAGUAUUGGGACCUAAUUUUACGAGCCUACUUUGGUCGUGCAAUUGAAUUUCUUAAUAGUUUUAAAUUCCAUAUAUAAUUAAUUUUAUUUCUAGUUCAGUUUUUAGGAAUUUCAAUUUCUGAAAACCCUAAAUAACAAUAGCAGGUUAAGUCCAAGUUAGUGCUAGUAUGGGAGGGCAUGGUGGCUUAAAUAUUCUGCCUCAAAAGCGGUGGAAUGUGUACAAUUACGAAAACAGAGAAAAAGUUCGAAAAGACGAAGAAGCUGCAGCAAGAGAAGAGCAGCUCCAGCGUGAACAGGCGAGAAAACGAGAUGCUGAGUUCCGUUUAGAGCGUCUUAGGGCUUCCCGUGGCUUGGCUCCAUUGACUCAAGCUCCGGAGCCUGUCAAAGAGACUUCGGAAGAGCCAGUUACAGAGACAGAUGAAUCAGGAUCAAAGUCGAAUCAUAUCAAUCUGUUUGAGGGGAUUAAGAUUUUUGACCCUGUCAAAUUAGAGGAGAAGGAAGGAAAAGGAAGAAGUACUGAGAAAGAUGGUUUUAAGAGGAAGAAGAUGAGGAAAGAGGAGGUAGCAUCAUCGGCUAAGGUUGUGAUGCCAGAGGAUGAGAAGUAUAGGUUGGGUUAUGGUGUUGCGGGGAAAGGAGUUAAGUUGCCAUGGUACCUUGAAAAGCGGAGCAAUCAUGAUGAGAAUCAUGAAAGUAAUGAGGAUGAUGAGUCAACAAAAGUGCGGGAGGAAGGGAAAAAUGGUGGGAAGAAGACGCUGCAGGAGUUAAGGGAAGAACGGUUGAAGAGGGAGAAAAUGGAGAAGGAGAGGGAACGAGCAUUGAUUAUGGAGAAGAGUCGGAGAGAUAGGUCGUUUUCAAAGAGUAGUGGGUUUACCCGGAGGUGAACUUAUGAAAUUGUAGUUGCUUUCAUUUUGUAUAUUGCUGUUUCUAGACUUGUUAGAAUUUUGUUGGGCUAUAUGUUUGGUCCUUUUCUACACUUUUUGAGCAACACUUGGUGGGUGCACACGUUUCUGUUUGAGGCCCUGUAAGAGGUAAUGCUCUGAUUCAUUGAAUUAACAAAAUCAUUAGGUGUCUUGUGGAUAACACUAAUCAAGUAUUUGACUGACUUUACCUAGUUUAUAACUAGCAGCCUUGAUGACAAGAUGGUCUUAUAGCUCAUCAUAGGUGCUUGAUAUUGGCGUAUGGAAUGGUUCGUUGUAGUUUUAAUGAGAUCUGUGACUUUUAGCUAUGAUUCAAAUUUCCAUUUUGUAUCUUCAAUGAAAUUUGUGAGUUAAAGAAUUGAAUGGGAAUAUAAUUUUUUAAUGGUAUCUGAUCGCUACAUUUCUUAGAAAAUCAAAUGUCGUGGAAAUUGUUGCAUGGCAAAGAGUAAUAAAAUACAGGACAGGUAAUGGAACAGAUAAAAUAGGUAAAUGGAACUGUGAAGGUUCCCCAUCAUAUUCUUCCUGUAAUAGGCAUUUGUCAGGAUAUGUGUUUUCGGGGAAAAGUUUAAGACAUAUUUGUGUAAGAUAAAUGCAAUCUAGACGGCGAUGAAAUACAAAAUUAUUCAUCAAUGAUUACCAUUAGUGUAAAAAUUAUAAUUUUAACGUUUGGAAGAAUUGGUAGCUGUUUCAUCGUGCCGUGAGUCUAAGCUCACAUGCACCUCUUUACACUAAAUUUAAUACUUAGCAAUUUAGUGGUUUAAUCACCUUGAAUUAAAAAAAAAAAAUCAAUGAAGGAUCCCGAUUUGACUUCAUUGUAGCCAUUCAUUAUGUUGAAUCAACUAUUUUAUAAUGCAUGACAAUACUUGCAAUUUUAGAUCCUCAGAUUGUAUUUGUAUUAUCAAAUGUCAUUUAAAGGUUGUGGUUGCAAGUUCACCAAAAAUAUCAUGUAAAUGCCCACAUUUGAUCAACCUAGAAUUUGCCUAUAUAGAGGCAAGAGAUUUGAUGAUUCGAUGUGUAGAAUUUUAGAGGUGAGUUUCCUAGAGAAUUUUAAAAUAAAUCUAGAGUGAAUUUUAUGGAGAAGUGUAGUUAAUAAGAAGAGAUUUCUUUUUUUUUCUCUUCUUCUUUAUUUUAAAUUUUCUUAUAUUAUAUUUUUAUAAAUUUAUUAAAUAAAAUGAAUGUUUUAUUUACUAAUAUGAGUGGCUAAUUUUCUAAGCCAAGGUGAUGAGUGAAGCCAAAGUAGCUAAUUUCUUGUAUUAUACUUUUACAAAUUGUUUGUUUCACUAUUAACCUGGGAAUCGAGGUGGCCAAAGAUGCAGGAUGGACCCCUUUGACUGUCGAAUCGGAUUCAAAAGUGGUGGUUGAUUUGGUGCUGCGUAAGAGGAGCAGUAGAACAGAGAUUUUUUUGGAGCAUUGAAGAUAUCCAAAGCAAAAUUGAGGGAGACAGUAUGAUUGUAAUCCAGCACAUUCCAAGGGAACGUAAUGCAAUGGCACAUGCUAUAGCCAAAAUAGCAUUAGCAUGCAGUGAUGAUUGUGUCGGGAGGGAAUCUUUUCCCCCACAAAUCAUAAAUGUAAUCGCCCAAUUGGUUUAAUGAAAGCAUUUCUUCUUAAAAAAAAUAGUUUAUUACAAAAAAAUAUAAUUAGUUCGACUAUUAUUACUCUUUCAUUAAUUUCAUAAAAUUUUUAUUAUAUUACAAUUAUAUUUAAAAAUAAAUAUAAAUUAAAUUAAAUUAUUUGCAUUUUCUUUCUUUUUUGAAUUUUAUUUUACUUGCGGAAUAUAAAUUUUUUUGUUAUCACUAAAAUAAUUUAAAUUUAAAAAGUAAUCCUCUAAGUCAAAAAGAUUUUUUUAUAAUAAAUAUAACAACUUAAUUAAGAUAUAACGUAGGGAAAAAUAAAUUAAAUAAAAUUUUAUCCCUUUACAAUUAAUUUUUUAAGCAUUCUCAAACUAAUUGCUAAACUCAAUGAACCCAAAAUUUAUAGGUAGGAUAAAAUUAUAUUAAACCCACAAAAUAUUCAUUAUUUUCUAAAUAUAAAGUUUUUCUCAUUUUUUUUAGAUUUUUUUCUUUAGAAAUUAAAUAGUAAAAAAAGUUUAAAGAGAGGAAUACAAAUAUUAAGAUUGAAAGAGUGAGAAAAUUAUUAGAAAUUAAAAAAAUCAUAAAUAAAAAGAAUAUUCAUUUAAAAAAUAAAAUUUUAAUAUUAUAUAAAAUAUAAUUAAAAAAAGAGUUUCAAUACGAUUUUAAUUGACUUGAAUGUGACAUAGGCGCUGCCUGAGAAGAAAAUUGGUGGGCAGUGUUUUCUCCGAAGUAAUUGUCAUAUCAUUACCAGAUAUUAUUUGUUUAUUUUAUUUAAAGUUGGAAGUGGACGAAAUUUCUUAAAAUCAUUUUUAUUUGUCUUGUUUGUCUCGAGGAUUUGGAAGUGGACGAAAUGAAUGAAAAAGGUUACAAUGACUAAACAAAUAGAUUUUUUUUGCGCCUCUACAGCCAUGUCUAUGUUGUAACUGUAACACUAUUGUGUGCGUUUUGUCUUUAUCUCAUGUAAUUAUUUUAUUUAAAAGCAAGUGAUCCAACCAGUAACAGAUGGCCACGUUUCUUUUAAAAAUGUAUUGGUGAAGUCAGUUAAGAAGAGGUAAAAAUAAGGAUAGAUAAAAUUAUACAGUGGUUAGACACUAUUUAAGGGUACCUUUAUAAUAUUGUAAUUUUUUUAGAGGAUCAAUAGUUUAAGUAAUAUUAAUCAUUAGAUUUAAUUAACAGUGUAUAUUAUAUUUAUUAAUUAUUUUUAAAAUAACAUAAACAGUUAACAAAGGGACGAAUUGUUGGAUCCUGGAGUUGGUAGAAAUAUGAGAAAUUUCAAUGACCACCCCUACAAUUUUAAAUAUUCUCACAUUUUUUAUUUGAAUAACAUAUAUCGUUUAAUAUCACAAAAUUCAAUAAAAUAUAUGAUUUCAAUGAAAUAUAUGAACAUGCAUAUGAAACCCACAUUCAUAGGAAAGUUUCAUUAGACUUUUAAAGUUUAUCUUACCUAUGUAUCCUAAACCAUUCAUUAUCAACUUUUCGUAAUUUUAUUAAAUAUGAAUUUCAAGCAAAACAAGAAAGAGUAACAAUAUGUAAUUAAUUUGAAGAUUUAAUGUAAAACUCACAAUUGUUAAAAUAGUGCUUAAAUUAUGUCAUUAAUGUUAUAAGAUAAUUUGAUUAUCAUGUAACCAAACUAAUUUCAAAAUUUAUUUUGAAAGCAUGCAAAACUAAUUUCAAAAUUUAUUUUGAGAGCAUGCAAACGGAUGUAGUCUCUACUAUGUGAUUUUUUAAUUCUAAUUUAUGGCCAUAGAAGAGAAUUGGAAGAUCCAUAUUUGCCCAAUAGUGAAAUAUAAAUAAUAGCCCUUUAAUUUCUCAUGUGGUAUAUUUCAUUGGCUUAUUAGCUUACAAAACUAUAUGCAAGUGUUAAAAAUUGGACUACUGCAUGAAAUGUCAUGUGAUAUAUUUCAUUUGAACUUAGAUUAAUUAAAUGCCUAUAUAUGGUUUACUUCAUUAAUCUAAAAAUUAAUUUUCAAUGAUAUUUAUAUGUGACAUAUCAAUUCAUAAUAUAUCAGGGUAAUUACGAUUUUAAUUUCCCUUCUAUUAGUAAAUAGGGGUAGAUAGAAGUACUCAAUAUAUAUAUGUGUGUGUGUGUGUGUGUGUGUGUGUGCAUAUUAAUUCAUAUGUCUUAAUGACUAAAAGAAAAAUCACCUCUACUAACUUAAACAGGUCUUAUAUGUCUUUCUAUAGUAGUGUUUGUAAAAUAUAUUUUAUUUGCUAUGCUUUGGAGGACGUGUAGUAUAUUAUUUUAUAAUUUACAAAAAACGUGUUUAACAUGUUUUAACUUUUAUUAUUGUCAAAUAGAUUAUGUUUAAUACAUUUUAUAAUUUGAUUUAAGAUUUAGGCUCGCCAAACAUAUAUUACACUUGUACUAUUAAAAUCAAAAUGAAAAUAAGGGCUACAAAAUGAUACUGAACAUGCCCUAAGUUACUUGAAGUGUCAGUUUAGAAAUAAGUAUCAUCGUAGGCUUAAAUUUAUGGAACAACUUUUCAGGACUGUUGGUCUUCCUCCAUUAGCUUAUUUUAGGUCUAUAUUUCCAUUUUUUUUUCAAUGGAUGCAAGAUGAUGAUGAUGAUGAAAUUGUGCUACUCGUAACGAUGCACCUUCGUAUUCAAUAAGAAUCAUAUGCAUAUUCAACAGUGAAAAUAUGAUAAUUCUGUCGUAAUUUGAUCAUAUUACAAUACAAUUGACUACUAAAAAAUGUCUUUAUAUUUUUAUUACAUUUUACAUUAAAGUUGUAGCACAUUAUAAAUGCAAAUCUUAAUGUUUAAUAACAUAACACUUCAACAAAGUCAACGUCUUAAGUAUGAUGUAUGAUAUAGAAUAUUGAAAUAGUUAUACCUAACACUCACAACAAUUUAUAAUAAUUUAUAGUGUUUUAUUUACAAUAUCUUUUCUAAUUAUAUAUGUAUUAAUAUCUAUCUUAAAGUCAAUUUUUGGAUUAGUAGAUUUUAAUAAAUCCAUUGGGAUAGAUUAAUAAUAACUUAAUAUUAAAAAAAUUCAUUAUACAUGUUAUUUUAUUAAUAUACUUAUUUUAAUAUUUUAUUUGUAUCAUAUGAUAUUUAUUAUUAUUUUUAUCCUACUACUAUAUGUAUAUUUAUUUAGGUUGUUUAAAUCAAAACGUAUAAUAGUCAUUUAUGAAAAUUAAGGGGUCUAUAUUACCAUUUACGAAACUAAGUGGAUCUAUAUGACUAUUUGAGCAAACAUUGAGGUGUGUGUGGCUUUUUCUCAAAUUAAUAUUAAUUUAAAAUUAAAAACCAAAUAAUUACCAGCAACUUGUAAAUUACAUGCUACAUUUUCAUUAAUUAUUUAAUUAUCCAUUAUAUUAAAUGGACGAUUGAGAUUAAAAUACUUAAAACUAAUGGUUCACAUUAAUCCCACUAUCAAUGUUGUAAAAAUACAUACAUUAUCAUAAAGAAAUCCACUAUUUAAAGGUUUAAAACAAAUUUGUGUAAGAUAAAAGCAAUCUAGACGGUGAUGAAAUAAAAAAUUGUUCAUCAAUGAUUAAUAUUAGAAAGUAUACAUUAAUUAAAUAAAAGUAAAAAUUAUAAUUUUAACUUUUGGAAGAAUAGGUAGCCGUUUUAUUUAAUAUUAAUUCUGAAAGGCUGGGUAUCAUGCCUUGUGUCUAAGCUUACAUGCACCUCUUUACACUAGAUCUAAUACUUAUCAAUUGAGUGGUUCAACCACUUUGAAUUAAAAAAAAAAAAUCCAAUGGAGGAUCCCGAUUUGAUUUCAUUAUAGCCAUUGAUUAUGUUGAAUCAACCGUUUUAUAAUGCAUGACGAUACUUGCAAUUUUGGACCCCUUGGAUUGUAUUUGUAUUAUCAAAGGUCAUUUAAAGGUUGUGGUUGCAAGUUCACCAAAAAUAUCAUGUAAAUGCCCACACUUGAUCAACCUAGAAUUUGCCUAUAUAAAGGCAAGAGAUUUGAUAAUUCCGUGUGUAGAAUUUUAGGGGUGAAUUUCCUAGAGAAAUUUAGUGUAAAUUUAGAGUGAAUUUUAUGAAGAAGUGUAGUUAAUAAGAAGAGAUUUUUUUUCUCUUCUUUAUUUUAAAUUUUCUUGUAUUAUAUUUUUACAAAUUUAUUAAAUAAAAUGAGUGUUUUGUUUACUAAUAUGAGUGACUAAUUUUCUAAGCUAAGGUGAUGGGUAAGUUCAAGGAUUCAAAUUGUGGAUUUAAUUACUUUCUCAAGUGAAUUUUAAGUUUAUUGGUUAUAAUUUAUAUUUUCUACCGAUUAUUUUCAUUCCAUAUUUUAUAUUUAUUUACAGAUCUAAAUUUCCUUGUAUGUAUAUAAAUGUUUAGACACAACAUUGACAUGUGAAUAUGAUAGCGGAAACAUUCCAAUAUGGCCGUGGCAAUUAUGUACUUCAUCCCCUUGUAUAUUCAUAGAGUGGUUAAUUUAUGUGGGAGUUUAGACCUAAUGUUGACUACUAAUAUGGUAGUGGGAACACUCCAAUAAAGUUGUGGCAUAAUAUAUACUUAAUUCUCAUUUUUAUUUAUUGAGUGGUUAAUUAAGAACUAAGUCACAUAAUAUUGAAACAAGUAUAUAUAUAUAUAAAUGUUAUGGCCAUGAUUUAAAUAUCAAGCAUGGAUCUCAUAACCUUAGCGGUUUUUAAAUUUAUACUAUUCCUUAUCAACUUUUUUUUUGCAAUUAUUUUAUGUAAUUAUUGACUGCCAGAGUUAUACUUUUAGAGUAGUUAACCACUUUACUUUGAGUUGUGCGAAUCAAUAUCAAUUUAUAAUUAUGGAAGAAUAAAACCAAAAUUUGAAGAAUUAGAACUAUUGGAAAACGAAGCGUUAAAUAGUGAUUAAGGUAUGAAAAAAUGAAACUUCUACAAGCAAAGUAACAUUGUCGAUGAAUAAUGUAAUUAAGUAGAUAUGUUUGAAACAAGAAAGCAUAUACAAGUUUACCAAUAAUGUAAUUAACUCCGAUAAAACUAUUGUUUGCGAUAAUUGAAUAAAUCAUAUUUGUUUGUAAAGGAUGAUUAGAUUUCAGUGUUAUUUGCUUUUAUAUAAACUUGACCAUCAUCUUGUAAGUCUAAAAACUUUGAUUAACACAGAAUUACUUGAUUCCAUCAGAUUAAAGUUUGGUGUAUGAGUAUAAUGCGUUAUUCAUACAUUCUUUGUAAGCACAGAAUUGGUUUCAAACUUUGAUAAACACAAGAUAAUUUUGCUUCGUUUAAGGUAAUGGCAUACAUACCCCACAUGUUGUUCCCGUCUACUUAACAUGCCAACGGAAACAUGUGUAUGUAUUCCUGUGGCGAAUGAUUUUGUUGAAAUUUGAAAAAAUAUUAAUCUCGUAGACAAAAAUUUAUUCUAAGGUCGGUAUGUAUGUAUUCUGUGGCCAAUGAUUUUGUUGAAAUUUGAAGAAAUAUUAACCUCACAGAAGUUGUCUAUAUUGAGUGACAAAAAUUUAUUCUAAGGUCGGUCGCAAGCAUGUCGGGUCAAGUGUCCCUGAACAGUUUAUUUCGUUUGAGAUGAGUAGCUAUCUAAAAAUGAUUAAUGUAAUAAAAUUUCUAGUAAUUCAUAAUUAGUGUAUAAAAUAGAGGAUACACUGGUUGAUACAUAGUCGCUAUACUUUUGCAUAACAAAAGGGCAAUACGUUGCUUAUUUAAGAGUCAUAGAGGAAAGAAUCACAAUAUAGCACCAUUCAAAGGGAAACUAAUACAUAUAUAAUUAAGCAUUACAAUGAUAUCUUAUUGGUUUCUGGGCAAAUUGUUGAUGUCCAAGUCCUUUAUCCGGUCGAUCUAAAUGGUUAUCACAGGCCUGCACACAAAAGAAUUGUCAAUACUAUGUUAAGUAGUAAUAUUUAGUAGAUAGCAGAAGCAGCUUACUGAUAGUGUCAUCACUAGUAGUUGAUGUUAUCCUCUUCAGAACAGUUGCCAAAGUAAAUAAUAUUUAGUAGAUAGCAGAAGCAUCUUACUGAUAGUGUCAUCACUGGUAGUUGAUGUCAGCCUCUUCAGAAUAGUUGCCAAAGUAAGUUAAUUGUGUUCACUAUAAUCAGGAAUAAGUUGGUAUAAGUUUUGUGAAAUACUGUAUUGAACUUGAUAAGCCUAAUGCCAAUCGAAUAGAAAGAAUGUAAAGAAAACAUGUACCUCUAGGUUAUAUGUAGUAGAGGGGUGUGAACAGGUGUGUCUGGCUAAACUGUUUUGAACAUGAUGUCAUUGCUGGCCUUGCUUGAAAUAGGUUUGAGAUCUAAAGUCAUUGGUAGAAGCAAAUUGUCACUUGCUUGCCACUUCCAAGCACUGUCUUUGGCUAAUUUCAUCAUGCCUGGUGCAUAAGUUGACAUAUAAUUUUCUGCGGACAUCACAGUCUUCAAUGUUUUAACGAAUGUAUUGUGUUGCCCUGCAAGCAUAAGGACAUAGAAUCCCAGAAAUCAACCACAUUCCACAACCGCAUGUCAUCAUUUGUUCCAUGUUUAACUCAUUACAUGAUGAAAUGCUAUUAGUGACUUUGACAAGAUAUUAGAUUUAAGCAAUUAACAAGUUAACAGUAUUGUCCGGUAUCACAUGAUUCAUACCAAAUAUUCAGAAUUGCAACAAAAAAUGAGCUCAAACAUACGACAAGAUAAAAUUGCAUAGAUUGCUUAGCCAUGCAGUUAUCAAACAUAUUAAAACUAAAGAGAAAAAAAUAAAAAAUCACUGAUGGUAUUAAAUGAGAUUGUCCUUAUGCAGAAUAUUUAAAAUAAAAGUUCUUUUGAGAUCAAGAAUCUGUGCGGAAACCGGUCGGACCGGAUCCGGCAAGAAGUCGAGGGAUAACACGUGCCACUUGUCGACAGCCGGGUUGUGAACGUAGCAACACAGACCACGGUUACGUGUAGGCAAAGCCAGGAACCAUGCGAGCCGCCGGUGUUGGGACCCGGAGCGAAGGUGGUAAAGCUUGGUGUUGAGUGUUAGAAAAUGUAUAUUUAUAAAGGAGAAAAUCGUCAUUUUACACUACAAGUUUUACUAACACCUUUACUUUUAUGAAUUUAACCUUCUUUUGAUUUAAUUCCGUGUGUUUUAUUUUAAUUAAGUAUUUUAUGUAUUUUAGGGGCAUUAUAGAUUACUAUUCACGAUACUGUUCACAUAGACGGAUCGAUGAUGUGGCAUUGACCGAUGAUGUGGCAUUGACUGAUGAGGUGUCACGAUCCUGUUGGGCUAAAAUUCUUAUGUACUGUUGAUGGUGACGUGGCAGCAUAUCAGUGGACGAAAAAUCUCGCGUACGGUACAUGCAUCACACAGGAUUAUUUUCAACCAAAAUCUCUGAAUCCAUUUUUGGGAUCUAUUUUCUGUAAUUCCUUCUCCAUCUUGUAUUUUCUUUGUAUUUUAAUAAAUUCUCAUUUUGCCCCUAGUUCAAUUAUGAGUAGCUAAUUUCUUUUCAAGCUUGGGUUGAAGGUGAAGUCUCAACAUGUGUCAUGGGCUUAAUUUGGUAAAUUUAUUUUCUCUUUCCCUCUAGUUUUUGUGGAUGUUUUGACUUCUCGUCGACAAAUAAUACUAAUCUUGUCUAGUACCGCCUUGGUUACACCGGCUCUCUAGUAUAAGGUUAUUAUUAUUUGGCACGAUAAGCCCUUAGCACCAUAUUGAUUAGAGCGUGGUUCAUGAGGUGUGGAUUCCCCCCUCAUGAUUUAAUUGGCAUUAAUACGGAUUAUUUAGCCCAUGAUGCAUGUUGAUACGGAUCCGAAUACCUAAGUACGUCAUUUCAAUAGAAUUAUCUUCAAUUUAUUCUCGCCAUUGCAAUUCCAAUUUUAGAAUUUAUUAUCGCCAUUUCAAUUCCAAUUUUAGGAUAAUUUAAAUCACUUCCACCAUAAUUUCAACCACCCAUUUACAAAAUUAAUUCUACAUAUAAUUAAAAUCCACCUCCUCGUGGGAUCGACACUCGUCACCAUUAGUCUAUUCUACAAUAGAUUCGUGCGCUUGCGAGUACAUUAAAAUUUACACAACACUUGGCACACGUGUGCCAAUGGCUGCAGACUGAUUUGACACGUGCCAGGGAGUCUGGAGAAAGGAAGGAGAAGAUGUUGGCUAGAACAUCAAAAUGAAGGUUGCUCCACAUUUUUACAGAGGAAAUACAUAUAUAGAUAGAUGGUUAUGGUUUUAAUUUUUAAAAGCUUGGUAUCUGAAGUGUAUACGUAUAUAUAUAUGCAAGUACAAACUGGUGGUUACAUUUGGGCAACUAUUGGAGAUGAAUUAUUGGACGCAUAUGGUAUAGGGAUGUGUGAAGCUACAUGUAACUGUGAAUUAUUUUAUUGUUUUUUCUCUUGUACUUUGGUUGUUUUUUUUUUUGUUUUUUUGAUAAGUACUUCGGUUGGUUCUGGGAAAGGCUCAAGAGGCAAGAAACUAAAAAUAAAAGAAAGAAAAAGAAAUAAUAAAAAUAUCUCUUUCUUUUUUUAUUGAACUUUAUUGAGAUAAUUAGUCGUAUUAAAUUCUUCGUGUUUUGAAGAUGGGUUGGUCCUUCAGUGUAAGAUGAUCAUUAUGGUUUGCUUAAUAAAUUAUCAUGGGGAAAAGUUUAUUGUAGUACUUAAUAAGAACGAAUUAAAAUUCUUUGGUGAUCUGAUUUUUUUCUUGAGUUAAAUUUAAAUGACCGAUGUUUAAUUAAUUAAAAAUAAAAAUAAUUAAAUCAUAAUCAUAUAUUACUAUUAUUAAAGGACAGGUGAGAUAAGAUUUUUAAUUAAUUAAAGAACGCAAAUGGCAAAAAAAAUUUAAUCUGACAAGAAUUGUAAAAAAUAAAAAGAGUAUUUAAUAGAAGAAUUUUGAUGCUGAAAGUAAAGAUGAUGGUAGCACGCUUUAAUGACAUUUUGAGACGAUCAGUUUGACAACCUAGGGAUUAUGAUGUUGAUGUUAUCAGGAUUUUGAUACUGGAGAUAAAGGAUGGUGAUGCUAGCCACGCUGUAAUGUCAUUAAUGCCGAAGAUAAACUUAUCAUAAUUUAUACGAAAUUCAGACGUCAGUUUCAUUAAUCUUUAAUUUCAUUUUGCAUAAUUUUAAAAUGCGUUUUUAUGAACCAAAAAGAAAUUGUAACUUCUUAAAUACCAAGACUAUUUUAACACAUUUUUUAUUAAAAAAAAGACCAAAGCUCCUUUUUAUUUGAUAAAAUUGAUUAUGUUUUCCAUAUCUUUUUAAUGUCUUAAAAUUAUCCAGAAAUAAAAUGUUAAACCAUUGGAAACACUUUUUAGAAUAUCAUUUAAUUUGCAUAUAAUAUAAAAUAUCUGAAAAUUGAAUAAGAAUGGACUACGAGUAGUAGCAGCGCCACUAAGUGAUAAACUGUCCCCACUCGGUCCAAAAUUUCAGAUAGCAUAUUCAAUCUGGUUAGCUGAAAUUACAAAUUUGUCUUGUUGGAUUAAUUAAAUGCAUAAAUUCAAGUUCCAAUUUUAUUUUAAAAUCACAUACGCAAAUCUCAUUCCUUUGCAAUUUAUUAGUCUGGUUGUUUGAUAGAUGUUCAAAAUCCAAUUGAAUCUAUUCAAAUAAGUUCUAUGAUCUAAUUUGAAAUUUAAUUUAAUUCAGUCUAAAUAUGCAACGUAACAUUAAAAACAUCAAAAUUAAAUCUAUUAUUAAAAAGCAAAAUAAAAAUAUCUAUAACCAUAUACUACUCUUCAAUUUUUAUGAUUUGACUAUUUUCUUAAUGCUCUAUUUCUCAAGACAUGUAAAUGGAUAUUACUAAUAAGAUUAUGAAAGUGGAGAAGUAAGAGCGUGAACCUUUUUCUUUGAUUAUUUAUAAAUUUUACUCUACUGAUAUGAUUUUCUAGCUACACCAAUGAGUCUACAAUAUUAGACUUCAAUGAAUAUAAUAAGAUCCGUCGUUAGGCUUAGGAGAAUUCUGUGUGCUUUGAGAUCACGUGGAGAAAAAAAGUAUGAAUUUUGGCCAAAACAUGUUCUUCAAUUGAGAAAUUUGGUGGGCUGGCGUUUACUUCAAAUUAAAUGUCAUACCAUUACCGGAUAAUAUUUAUUUAUUUAUUUGAGGUUGUGAAAUUCUUUAUGAGAUUUGGGUUGGAAAUUAAAAUAAACAUUUUUUUUAUCAUAUGAUCAGGAUACUCAUUUUCUUCUUAUUAUUAUUUUCUUGAUACAGGACACUCAUUUUAUUUAAAAUUGAGAAAUUUGGUGAACAAGACAUCAAGUUUAUUAAUUUUUUUUUUUUAGUUUCUCUCUAGAAUUUGGAAGUGGACAAAACAAAUGAAAAAAUGAAUAGGGACAAAACAAAUAGAUUUUUUUUGUGCUUCUGCGGCAUAAAAUAGUUAUUUUUUAAGUUAAGGGUUCAAGUACGUGCAUGUUUUACAAAAGUAGAUUAUUAUUCAGAUUUGUAAUGGGAGGGCAAAUUUACAAAAUUAGUGGAAUAAAAUCAUGGCGCAAAAGAUGUUUGCUAAAUUGCAUCUGAGAGUGUUUUUUUUUUUUAAAGUUAUCAUUUAGCAACAUUCCAUAAUCGUUUUGUACUUAUUUGCUAUUAUUAUGCUAGUAUUGGAAAAUCAAUAGCAACAAUUUCACCCAACGAUUUUCUAUGAAAAUUAAGACAACUUGUCAGCAAAAUGGGAUGUGUGAUGGUUACCGUAGUUAUUUUUUUAGGCUAUCAAACAUGAGCUCAAAGUUUGUUGGAUGAAUUUGGCCAUCGCCCAGGCAACGCGGGCUGUCGGCCAGGUGAUGGGCCUAGCAAAAUGGUUCGUCAUCUAAGCAAUGGGCCCUGAGUGACGACAUCAAUCAUUCGAGUGAUGGCACCUAUCGCCCAUAAUCUAUGCCACUAGAUUCUCGGCAAGGCUUGCGACUCUGUACUGCUAAGGGUCUGAAGACUAUAAUUUGAGCUCAUUAGCAUUAAGGUUUAAUUAAAAGCGUUUGAUACUUUAUAAUUCAUUUUGAGGAAUUUACAUUUAUGUAAUAAUGCACAUAAAGAUGAUUAGAUGAGCACAUAUAAUGAGUUAAAAAAAAAUUGCACAUAAGAUAUUUGACAAAUGUCAAGCACGUGCGGGUCUACCGCUCUAAAUAGUGUAACUUACAAAGGGCUAGCCAAGAGUGUUUCUAUUUAAAAUGGCGUAUUUUUUUACUAUAAAAAUUAAAAGAAGUGAAAAACUGGCUAAAAUUAUGGAUAGCUUCUAAAUUUUGGGUAUUUUCAUGAUUUUUUCACCAAAUUUUCUCCACUAAUUACUGAAAAAAAAAACAAAUAAACAAUUUCCUAAGUUGAGAGAAAAUUGAUAUCACUAUGUAACAGACACUUGUCAGUUGCUAUGUAAUCAAUCAAUCAAGAUGGCCCCAUGAACUAACUUGCAUAUUUUACAGUUGAGCGCUGCUAUUUCCCCCGAAUUUAACCUCGAACUGCGCCCCAAUUUAAAACGUACCGUUUUGAUUAAAUUGAAAACGGUGCCUUUAACACAUUUUCCUUUCCUUUCUUUGACCUGGGCACAAAACACAUUUACACUUUCCUUUUCUUUUGACCUGGGCACAAAAAAGUCCCGUUCACGAACAACUCACAGUGCACUCUCUCCCUCCUUUCCUGAUCUACUCGAAACGAAGGUGACUCACGUAACUCUCUCUCCCUCUUUUCCUGAUCUGCUCACAACGAAGCUCUCUCUCUCCUUAUCUUUGCGGAUCUACACCCAACAGCGAGCUCUCUAUCCUUUUCUCUCCAGAUCUGCUCUCUCUCGGUGUGCCCUUCUCGGUUGCUGCACUUCAUCUCUGGUGCCGUUGCUGCUUCAUCUCGAUCUCCGUCGCUGCUGGUGCGCCAUCUCGCCACAAUCACUGCAUCAAGCUACCCUUGUCGCACUUGGAAAUUAUUUGGAGGGGGCAAAAUCUGUUCUUUACGAAGCCUUCAAAUGCAUUGACUUCUUGACUUCUCUUUUUUUCCCCCUUUGGUUUCCUGUAAGAUUUUUAAGCUGCUGCUGGAUCAUGAACUUUGCUGCCGCUUUGUUGCAAUUUUGUUGGCUGCAGAAUUUUAGGCUUGGCCGCAUAACUUUGCUGGAUCAUAAAUGUCGAUUUUUCUUCUUAGUAAGCCAAUGUGAAAAUCUGCCUUGAUAAGAUCAGUUUUAAACCUGCUAAACAAUCAGGUGAAAUUAAUGAGAUGCCUUCUAGUGAAAUAGAUUUUGUAAAUCGUUAAAUAAAAGUAAGUUUUGGUCUAUUUGGUUCAUAAUUAUACUUUGAAAUUUGCUGGGCAUUCACUGGGGGCAGGGGUGGUGGCAUUGUUGGUGUUGAUUGUGGUUCAGAAUCUGGACAAGUUGGGGAACAUUGAGAGGAAUAAAAUCAGAUGCUUUGCUAUUGCACCUACUAAGUGUAUGUCACUGAAUUUGGCAGUGAGAUAUUAAUGGAUCGUGAAUGGCUGUGAGAGGAAGGGGAAGACGGAAGAGAAAGAGAAAGCAAUGUGGGGCUGCCAACCUGUCGCUGGUUUUGCCUAAGACAAAACAGCAUCGUUUCGGGAGAAUGAAAGAGGAAAAAAAAAAGGAUGAAACGACGUCGUUUGGAUGAGUUUCGGGGUUUGACCCGGGGAAAGUAGCAUUUUUCUUUACAGUUUCAACUUUCAAUUCCCUCCAUCACAGCAUUUUACAGUUUCAAGCCGUUGUUGAUGGGUUCAUCAAAGAAAUGGGCAGCCUUUAUAUCUUCAAUUGCUUCUUCUUUAUAUUUUUCUUUCAUUGUCUUCCAAAUCCCUCUUUUCAGGUAAUUCUUUGUGUUUCUUCCAUAAUUAUUUUCUCAUUUUAUAUAAUAAUGGUGAUUAUUUUGUCAUCAUUUACGUCACUUUUAUGAUUCAAUUAUCACAUGAAAUUCAUUUUACUGUCAAUGGCAACAUUAUUCAAUUCUAUUAUUAAGACAUAAAAGCUUUACUCAACCCACAUUUCUUUUUGACAUUCAUUUCAUAUAUGAGGAGUUGGAAUCCCAGAUGUCUUGUAGAGAUUUUAUUGGCUAAACUUAAUAGCAUUAGAAAUGCUUUUGAAAUACAUGUAUUGUUUGUUUUUGCAGGAUACCAUGUAGAAGUGGAAAAUGUACAACACCUAUAGAGGUGACAUGCUUCCAGUUGAUUAUAAGUGAAAUCUUCCAUGAAUUUGUAGCCAAGUUUCUUCUGUAUCCUGGAGCAUUGGCAAGUGCCAUAAUGAAGGGCAAAAGCAUUCCAAGCUACAGUAAAUUGCUGCGGCUAUAUAACUUCACCAAUCUAACGAAUUCCCAGAAAACUAAUCUCCUCCGCCUAGAGGUUUUUGUAAAUUUUUUUUUUAAACAAUCAUAUUCAUAUCAAUUAUUUGCUAGUUUGAACAUUACGAGCCUUAUGCCCAAAUAUGAUCUUUGUACAAAAAGAGUCAUAAAACCAUAGGCAAACUGAAACUCCAAAAUUUUAUUUUAGGAGCUUUUCUCUUGAACUUAGCAGUACAUUGCAUUUCAUUUUGUCAUUUUUUUUUUUUUGGGGGAACAUCAGGUUAUUGCAGGCAGCUAUUUGUCUGUUGCAGGAGCCUUAAUUGGAGCUCGGAGGAUGAGCCUAAUUGGGACACUUCUUCUGCUCUGGGGCCUUGUAAGAGAAGCGAUGAUGUUCAGGUUUUCUUGUGACAAAGCUUCAGGAAAAGCUGUUUCUAUCUAUCCAACUAUGGCAAUUUUUGUGCUUUGUACUUUCUUGUCCAUUAGAAAAGAUUUAAGGAAAAUUAUUCGUUGUUGUAAAGCCAAGCAUAUCAAAAAGUAUCUCUGAUUGAAAGUAAAAGAUAUAUGAGUUAAGGCCGAUGAAGAAAUGUGAUUUUUGGGAGAAAUUCAGUUGGGGUACAUAGAAGGAAGUAUGGGCUGAGAUUUUAGAAGGGCUUCAAAUUUUAAUGGGAGUUGGCUAGUAGAAUACUUGCAUUCUGUAGAUUGUAAUAGUUUUUGGCUUUCUUUUUCUGUAGGAUCUUUUUGCCUCUGCUAGUUAUAGGACACGUUAUGAUUUUAUCCUGUUUCACUACUGAAGAUUAGUGGCAAAUAUUGAAAUCCAUGUGAAAAUUUAUUAGAGCAUCUAUUUCAAUACUGCAAAUUGUUUUUGACAGCAUUAAAUAUCAAGCACGUGACUUCCAAUCUAUACCCUGCUACUUUAUUUCAUUUGAAGUUUCAAUCUUUUUGAGGGAUCUAAGGAAAUUAUGCUGCAGAUUUAAAACAUCCGAUGUUGCUUCUAUGUUCCUUCAUGCCACUAAAGUUUUGAUUCUAUUAUCAUAUUUGUCACUCAGUUUCCAAUGAUUUAAACCUGAGAAUAUGGGAGAUGAAUGCUGAUGAUAACGGCUAAGAAAGUGUGAAACAUGAACUACUUUAGACAGAUUUUAUGGUUCAAAUCAAAUGGCAGGCAAGACAAUGUAAUGUGAACAUUGCAUUCACAUCUGGAAUUGGGACAAGCUGACAAAAUAUUCAGCAUCGAUUGAAUGUUGUAAAUUGGUCUCAUAUGCCCAAACAACUGAGAAAGAGAGAGUGAUGAGUGAUAGAGUUUGAAAUUCACUUGUUUUGGUGGAUUUUGGUUCUUGAAGGAACUCAGAGAGAAGGUUAGGCCUUCUGAUGAUUUCUUUCAUGGAUUAUGAAUUUACGAUAAAGAAUCCUUAUUUCUAAUGGUGGUCAUUGGUUAAGAGAAGCUGGUAUGUGAAGUUGAAGGCAAAUAUGUUCCAUGGGUAUUGAAUUUUAGGUGCUCAUGCAGGUUUGUUAGCUUAAAUUGGUUAGUUUUUGGUACAAGGGAUCUUUAGUAGAAGCUUGACAGUAUCCGUCAGUUCACUAGUUUCUCUUUAUUGUUAUACAAGUCUUCAAAAAACCCGAUUGAAUUUAAAUCUGGUUCUGGCUACGCCCCCCUUCUUUCUUCCUUCAGUUCUCUUAAUGAAAGCAGGAAAUUUCAAGAAUUUGACAAGAGUUCUAGUUCAAAUGCUCCAUUGGGUGGCGAUUCUUUUCUUAAUCUAAUGAAAUUCCCUGGUCUUCUUGCUUUGCUCUGACCCUGUGUUAAAUAAGGAGUUACCAUCGCAUGGGAGGAAUUCCCUUCCUUCUCUUAAUGAUAAAAUUGAAUGCUUUAAAGGUGGAUCACACACUGAUUGUGGAGAACCUAUAGAGAAAUUGGAAUUUUCUAGAGAAAUCAGGUGCUUGCUACAGGGUAAUGCCUCGUCUUAUCUCUCAUAUUUGGUAUGAUGAUGUAUUUUGUUCUGUUCCUUUCCUGGAGGUGUGUGUGUUGCAAUGGAACUAAAGGAAGCUAAGCUAAAGCCAUUUUAAGCUGGGGUCCUUUGAGUAUUCAGGUGCUCAAAACAAUUAGCAUUCUAACUGCUGGGUUUAGCAGGAGAAACUGCAGAGCAUGUAAUUUCCUUCUGUGACUCAUUUUGUAUUUCUUUCACAUUUCUUGCUUUAUAUGAUCUGGUUAUGGUGUAUCUGGAAAUAUGAUGUCAGCAGACGCUUAGGCAGUAUGUAGGUUUUGAUGCUAACAAUUUCCUUCAAACUAGAACUGAAUUUUACUGCAGAACCAAGAAAAAGUAUAAGAGAGUAGAAUUAGCCAUAUGAGACUUGGUGUAGUGUUUUAUUGUUAUUAUUUAAGCCUGAAUAAUAGUGUCUCACAGAAAGGUUUUGUCUUGUUAUCCUUGAACUGUUCGACUCAUAGAAUAAUAAAUCAACUAUUUGUUUUGUUUUUUGGUUGUUAAUUCAGAUCUUCAAGAACUAGAGGUAAAGCUUACUUGAUUGAGCAACGUUAAAUGGACAAUUUAACUUCUACCAUAUUGAACUUGCCAUUUUCUUUUUCUUCAUUACUAAUUUGUUGUUCUUUAUUAUCUUUCUUCACAUACAAAGAAGGGGUGAAAAUUGUAAAGAUAGCUCACAAUGCUUUUGAGGCUUACUCUCCAUUACGGUGUCUGAUAUGAAAGACAAGAUUGCAUGUUACACACAAUUAGAUACAUCAAUCGGAUAAAAAAAGCGCUCCUACCAGAAAUCUUAUUCAAAACUCUAUCUCAGUAGGAUUGUAGCUCGUCCUGCCAGUCUUCCUUUCCCUUGAUAACAAUUUUACCUACCAUUGUUCUACUGGAAUCAAGUGGGAGCUUCUUCAGCUUUAGGCAUCCAGUUACUUCAAUUUCCUUCAGUUGUGGAAAAGAUAAGGGACCCUAGAAGAUGCUCUUUAAGUUUCCUAGACCUUUUAGGCACAAAAAUUCGAGUUCUGCCAGCAAGUUCUGCUUUAGCAUUAUCUCUGAAACUUAAUUUUCCAAAACUGAUUAUUUCUUCCAUAUUACUGCAAUUCUGCACAUCAAUGUUCUUGAGGUUUGGAGUAAAAACAAGUCAUAUCAAUUUUUUCAAACUUGAACAAUCAUAUGCAAAUUGUUUGAAGACUGCGAAAACCGCUUUGUAGCAAAUUUUGUAUCUCUCCUGCAUUUUCAAUCUUCAACUCCUUAAAAGGACAGUUCUGAAUAAGAAAUUUUUUGAGAUGCUUCAUGUAUGCUAGAGGUAAAACAUUGAGGGACACUAGAAUAUAAAUUUUUGUAAGCCAUAGAGAUUCUGUACAAAUCAGCAACUUUUGUAAUGUUAAAAGAAUUUCAAGAAUAGGGCAACUAUCGAAGGUAAUGCUCAGCAGAUUCAAGUUUUCCAAAUAGAGCAACUUAUGAAGGUUCGACAUCUUCAUAUAAAGCUCUACCUUCUUCUUCUCCACUAUAAUUACUGCAACCCAACAUUUUGAGUGCCUGCAACUUUAGAAAGUUACGCAGCAGUUGCAGGCACUCAUUUUUUGAUGUUACAUAUUCCAAGUUCAAAUAUCUAAGAUUUACCAAGGCCUUCAUCUCUUCUAGCAACUCCUUUAUGACAGUUAAAGAAGGUAAUUUGGUCAGAAAUAUAAAGAAUCCUAGAUUCAAAACAUUAAGAGAAGGUAUAAAUUGAAAGAAACCAUAAAUGAUCAUACUGAUUUUGAUUCUCUAAAGGAGCAAAGUUAGGAGACAAGGACAACUAGGAAUUGAUGAUAGACUCGUAAUAUUAUUGUCCAUCAAUGAUAUCCUUUGGACCUCUUCCCAUUCUUCAAUCUUUGGUGCUGCAGUUAAUAAAACUCCAGCAUGAACCAAAAAAGUUCUCCUGCUCUAUUUUACAUGCUAUCUACAAUGCCAUAUCCCGAAUCACUUCCUGCAUUUGACAUGAUUAUCAUUUACCUCUUGCAAUAAACAUGUGUGAAGAAGAUCACUGAUAAUGGUGGAUCGGUGGAUCCUUCAUCAAAAUCAAGUACAAAUCCCUCGCUAAUCCAAUAAUCAAUCAAUUCCCCUUUAUAAACCUCAAAAUAUUCAGGAAAUAAACUAUAAUACAAGAAAUGAUCUAAUUAAGAAGAGCACUAAAGGUACUAUUGGCGAGGGCAGUGAACAUUGUUAUCCUGGCCUCAGAUGAUAUUCUUGAUAUUUUGCCUCCGAAUGAUCCUCUUCUUAAUAAAUGCAUCUAUCCAAUGGAUGCUUUGGUCUGCAAUCAAAUGGGUGAAAUCUGCUGAAAAAGCUAUGUAGAGAUUGCAGAAUAUUUUUAUUUUUUACCUACAUUUUGCUAAAACUACUUUCGAAAGUGAGAUACAGAGCCUUCAGGUUGAAAAAAUCAAGCCACGAUUUGCCAUUUAGGCCGAUGGACCAUUUUUUAUUAAUAGCACAAUUUUUUUUAAUACCAAUAUUACAUUAAUCUCACUGCUUUGAGAUAAUCAAUCUCCGCAAUAGAUAAACUUUUUUAAGAAAGAAGUCAUAUUCACUUAAGCAACUUGAAAGCCUUAUUACUAGCAAUCUAAUUCUUGGAACAAAGAAAUUUUUUAGCCGAAAAUAGGAAAUAAUAUCUAUGAUUUACCAUUUAUCCCAUAUUAUUUUUAUAAUAACCAAUAAUUUCUAACAACAUAAUUUACAAUAUCACUUUUAUUUACAAAUAUAUUUUUAUUCAUAUUUAUUAUAAAUUAAAUAAAUCAUAUGAAUGAUGAUUUGAAUAAAAAAUUAAAUAUUAAAAGUAAGAAAUAUAUGUUUUGAUGUGAAUAAAAAAUUAACAAUAAAAUAUCUUUCUUGCACUUUUUAUUUUAUAAAUAUUUUCUUAUAAUGAAUACAUAAAAUAAAUAAGUACAAACAAAUAUUUAUUUUUUAUUCACAUCAUAAUAUAUAUUUCUUGUUUUAAUACUUAAUUUUUAUUUUUAUUUCUAUUCAUACAUUUAUUUAAUUUAUAAUAAAUAUGAAUAAAAUUGAAAGCUUUUAAAUUAAAUGAAAUGGAUAGACAAGAUAAUCAUUAAGCACACGCAGAAACUUUAUUCAAAGUCUUGCUUGUUAUUGUUCAUGUGCAAUUUUAUUCACACUUUUGCGCCUUAUUGCACUUUAUUAUUCAUCAGGUAGGAAACAGGGAGAGAAAGCAUUUUGAGUGGCUUGAUCCUCCCAUUGUAGCUCUUCCCACCAUUCUUUCUUUCCCCGAAUGACAAUUUUACGUCCCUUUGCGCUGCUGGAAUUGAGCGGGAGCUUCUUCAACUUUGGGCAUUCUGAUAUGCGAAUUUCCUCCAGCUGUGGAAAGGGCAAGGGAUCGUGGUAGAUGCGCUUCAAAUUACUUGCAUAUCCUAGACUCAGAGAUUCAAGUUCUGAGAACAAGUUAAGCUCUCCCAUCAUCUCUGAAACUUCACUCAAUUUUUCAAAAUUUUCAACACUGAUUAUUUCUUCCAUGUCAUCACAAUCAAAUAUUCGCAGCCUCUUGAGAUUUGGAACAAAAACAAGCCACGUCAAGUCCUUCACAUUUGAGCAUUCGUAUAUUGUAACAAAGUGAAGUUUACGCAUUUUUUGUACCUCUCCCGCGCAGUCGACAUUCCAGUCUUCCAAAUUACUGUCCCAAAUGCUUAACUGCUCAAGAUGCUCCAUGUUUGCUAGAUGCAACAAAUUGAGCGGUAGACUGUUGCAGUUUUCGAUGGACAGAGCUUGAGUGAUAUUCUGCAGCUUUGGGAAUUUCAGAAAGUUUUCAACACCACGCGAACCAUGUAAGGACAAGGUGAUGAGAUUUAAUUGUUCCAAACAGUGGAUUUCCUUCAUCAAUGAUUCAGCAUCAGCAGAUAGAACGUUGCCUUCUACCACUAUUGGCGGGUGACUUGGACCGCAACGCAGCAUCCUGAGUACCUGUAACUUUGAAAAGCUUGAUA